GAUGAACGCUGGCGGCGUGCCUAAUACAUGCAAGUCGAGCGAACAGACGAGGAGCUUGCUCCUCUGACGUUAGCGGCGGACGGGUGAGUAACACGUGGAUAACCCCCCUAUAAGACUGGGAUAACUUCGGGAAACCGGAGCAAACACCGGAUAAUAUAUUGAACCGCAUGGUUCAAUAGUGAAAGACGGUUUUGCGGUCACUUAUAGCGGGAUCCGCGCCGCAUUAGCUAGUUGGUAAGGUAACGGCUUACCAAGGCGACGAUGCGUAGCCGACUUGAGAGGGUGAUCGGCCACACUGGAACUGAGACACGGUCCAGACUCCUACGGGAGGCAGCAGUAGGGAAUCUUCCGCAAUGGGCGAAAGCCUGGCGGAGCAACGCCGCGUGAGUGAUGAAGGUCUUCGGAUCGUAAAACUCUGUUAUUAGGGAAGAACAAAUGUGUAAGUAACUAUGCACGUCUUGACGGUACCUAGUCAGAAAGCCACGGCUAACUACGUG
This 497-nucleotide ribosomal RNA is filed under the name uncultured bacterium. RNAcentral describes it as "partial 16S ribosomal RNA". It matches the Rfam family "Bacterial small subunit ribosomal RNA", at positions 28 to 507 of the family's 1533-position model. The record is from RNAcentral.